Molecule: ribosomal RNA, 1216 nt
Filed under: human gut metagenome
Description: bacterial LSU rRNA
Rfam family: Bacterial large subunit ribosomal RNA
Source: RNAcentral
CACUGAAUUUCCUAGGGGGCGUCAAAGCCUACCGAAGAAUAUCAAACUGCGAAUGGCGGACAGAUGAUGCCAGGGAGUCAGACUGCACGAGAUAAGUUGGGUGGUCAAAAGGGAAAGAGCCCAGACCUACAGCUAAGGUCCCAAAGUGUGUGUUAAGUGGAAAAGGAUGUGGGAUUUCGAAGACAACUAGGAUGUUGGCUCAGAAGCAGCCACACAUUAAAAGAGUGCGUAAUAGCUCACUAGUCGAGAGGUCCUGCGCCGAAAAUGUCCGGGGCUAAAACACAACACCGAAGCUUAGGAAUUCUUUUGAAUUGGUAGAGGAGCAUUGAAGACGGAACGAAGCCAUACCGGAAGGAAUGGUGGACUGUCUUGAAGAGAGAAUGCCGGAAUGAGUAGCGAGAUUGAAGUGAGAAUCUUCAAGGCCGAAUAUCUAAGGUUUCCAGGGUAAAGCUGAUCUGCCCUGGGUAAGUCGGGGCCUAAGGCAAGGUCGAAAGACGUAGUCGAUGGAUAACAGGUUGAAAUUCCUGUACUGCAUCAAAUCAGAAAUGUGGGGACACAUGAGGGAAGCAUGAGCCGGAAAAGGAAAGUCCGGUACAAGCGCAGCAGAGGACAGAUAGGCAAAUCCGUCUGUCAACUCGAGGGCGCGAUGUGGAGCGAACCAAAGUAGCGAAGCAUGUGGAGCUUGUGUCGAGAAAAGCCGCUAUAGUGUUUGAUGUACCCGUACCGUAAACCGACACAGGUGGAUGAGGAGAGAAUCCUAAGGCCGGCGGGAGAAGCAUUGUUAAGGAACUCGGCAAAAUGACCCCGUAACUUCGGGAGAAGGGGUGCUCCAGAGAUGGAGCCGCAGAGAACUGGCCCAAGCAACUGUUUAGCAAAAACACAGGUCUAUGCAAAACCGAAAGGUGAGGUAUAUGGGCUGACGCCUGCCCGGUGCUGGAAGGUUAAGAGGAGAUGUUAGCCGUAAGGUGAAGCAUUGAAUUUAAGCCCCAGUAAACGGCGGCCGUAACUAUAACGGUCCUAAGGUAGCGAAAUUCCUUGUCGGGUAAGUUCCGACCCGCACGAAAGGCGUAAUGAUUUGGGCACUGUCUCGACAAUGCACCCGGUGAAAUUGAAAUACCAGUGAAGAUGCUGGUUACCUGCGCCAGGACGGAAAGACCCCAUGGAGCUUUACUCUAGCUUGAUACUGGGGUUCGGUAUUGCAUGUACAGGAUAGGUG